Non-coding RNA from Bombyx mori (domestic silkworm), 84 nucleotides. The record is from Rfam. NCBI's taxonomy places the organism in Eukaryota, Metazoa, Arthropoda, Insecta, Lepidoptera, Bombycidae.
UUAAUUCAAAUUUGUAUGGAGUUGGAACGUUUGCCCAUGUUUGCCGCUAGGGGCGCUGUUCCAACUGCAUACAAAUUUGAGUUA